This 254-nucleotide ribosomal RNA is filed under the name uncultured bacterium. RNAcentral's name for it is "partial 16S ribosomal RNA". It matches the Rfam family "Bacterial small subunit ribosomal RNA", at positions 524 to 776 of the family's 1533-position model. The record is from RNAcentral.
UACAUAGGGUGCGAGCGUUAUCCGGAAUCACUGGGCGUAAAGCGAUCGCAGGUGGAGGAAAAGGUCUGGUGUUAAAUACCUUGGCUCAACCAAGGUCUCGUACUGGAAACCAUUUCUCUUGAGGCAGACAGGGGCAGGUAGAAUUCCCAUUGUAGGGGUUAAAUCCGUAGAUAAUGGGAGGAAUACCAAAAGCGAAGGCAGCCUGCUGGGUCUUGCCUGACACUGCUCGAUCGAAAGCGUGGGGAGCGAAAGGG